Molecule: ribosomal RNA, 1960 nt
Filed under: human gut metagenome
Description: bacterial LSU rRNA
Rfam family: Bacterial large subunit ribosomal RNA
Source: RNAcentral
UCAAGCUAAUAAGAGCAUAAGGUGAAUGCCUUGGCAUCAAGAACCGAUGAAGGACGUAAAAAGCUGCGAUAAGCUUCGGGGAGGAGCACAUAUCCAAUGAUCCGGAGAUAUCCGAAUGGGGAAACCUAGCUGAGAAAAGCUCAGUUGGCGUACAGUGAAUCAAUAGCUGUGCGUAGGGAACGCUCUGAACUGAAACAUCUAAGUAGGAGCAGGAAGAGAAAGAAACAUCGAUUUCCUAAGUAGUGGCGAACGAACGGGAAACAGGCCAAACCGAGAUACAUGUAUUUCGGGGUUGUGGACUACACCAUGUGAUGGAGGUAAGGUAGUAGAAUUGUUUUGGGAAAGCAAGCCAAAGAAAGUGAAAGCCUUGUAUACGAAACCUGAAGACCCACAGUAGUAUCCAGAGUACAUCGGGACACGUGAAACCCUGAUGGAAGCCGGAGGGACCACCCUCCAAGCCUAAAUAUUCCUUGAUGACCGAUAGCGAAGAAGUACUGUGAAGGAAAGGUGAAAAGAACCCCGGGAGGGGAGUGAAAGAGAACCUGAAACCCUGUGUCUACAAGCUGUGGAAGUACUUCUCAGGUACGACCGCGUACUUUUUGUAGAACGGUCCGGCGAGCUGCGGGUACUGGCAAGGUUAAGCACUUCAGGUGCGGAGCCGUAGGGAAACCAAGUCUUAAGAGGGCGUUUUAGUCAGUACGUGCAGGCCCGAAACCGGGUGACCUAUCCAUGUCCAGGUUGAAGCCGCCGUAAAAGGCGAUGGAGGACCGAACCCACAUCCGUUGAAAAGGGUGGGGAUGAGGUGUGGAUAGCGGAGAAAUUCCAAUCGAACCCGGAGAUAGCUGGUUCUCCUCGAAAUAGCUUUAGGGCUAGCCUCAUACAAGUCUGCCGGAGGUAGAGCACUGAAUUUCCGCGGGGGCGUCAAAGCCUACCAAAGAAUAUCAAACUCCGAAUGCCGGACAGAUGGUGUAUGGGAGUCAGACUGUACGAGAUAAGUUGGACAGUCAAAAGGGAAAGAGCCCAGACCGCCGGCUAAGGUCCCAAAGUGGGUGUUAAGUGGAAAAGGAUGUGGGAUCUCUAAGACAACCAGGAUGUUGGCUCAGAAGCAGCCAUUCAUUAAAAGAGUGCGUAACAGCUCACUGGUCGAGAGGUCCUGCGCCGAAAAUGUCCGGGGCUGAAACACCACACCGAAGCCGCGGAACCCGUAAGGGUUGGUAGAGGAGCAUUCUUAGGGGAGCGAAGCAUUACCGUAAGGGGAUGUGGACUGCUAAGAAGAGAGAAUGCCGGAAUGAGUAGCGAGAGCAAGGUGAGAAUCCUUGCGGCCGAAUAUCCAAGGUUUCCAGAGUAAAGCUGAUCUGCUCUGGGUAAGUCGGGGCCUAAGGAGAGGCAGAGAUGCGUAUCCGAUGGACAGCAGGUUUAAGAUUCCUGCACCCCUUGUUAUCAGAACUGCGGGGACACGGGAAGGGAAGCAGAGCCGGGAAUGGAAAGUCCGGUGCAAGCGAAGUAGUCGCAGGGUUGGAAAAUCCGCCCUGCAUGAGACGAAGGCGUGAUGCGGAGCGAAAUGAAGUAGUGAAGCUGCGGCCCCUUCCUGUCGAGAAAAGCCGCUAUCGUGUAGCAAGGGCCCGUACCGUAAACCGACACAGGUGGAUGAGGAGAGGAUCCUAAGGCCGGCGGGAGAAGUGUUGUUAAGGAACUCGGCAAAAUGACUCCGUAACUUCGGGAGAAGGAGUGCUGCGCAAGCAGCCGCAGAGAAAUGGCCCAAGCAACUGUUUAGCAAAAACACAGGUCUAUGCGAAACCGAAAGGUGAGGUAUAUGGGCUGACGCCUGCCCGGUGCUGGAAGGUUAAGAGGAGAGGUUAGCGGUAACGCGAAGCUUUGAAUUUAAGCCCCAGUAAACGGCGGCCGUAACUAUAACGGUCCUAAGGUAGCGAAAUUCCUUGUCGGGUAAGUUCCGACCCGC